AUUGAACGCUGGCGGCAGGCCUAACACAUGCAAGUCGAACGAGUGGCGGACGGGUGAGUAAUGUCUGGGAAACUGCCUGAUGGAGGGGGAUAACUACUGGAAACGGUAGCUAAUACCGCAUACCAUCGGAUGUGCCUAGAGGGGAUUCGCUUGUAGGUGGGGUAACGGCUCACCGAGGCGACGAUCCCUAGCUGGUCUGAGAGGAUGACCAGCCACACUGGAACUGGGACACGGUCCAGACUCCUACGGGAGGCAGCAGUGGGGAAUAGUGCACAAUGGGCGCAAGCCUGAUGCAGCCAUGCCGCGUGUAUGAAGAGGGCCUUCGGGUUGUAAAGUACUUUCAGCGGGGAGGCGUUACCCGCAGAAGAAGCACCGGCUAACUCCGUGCCAGCAGCCGCGGUAAUAC
This 406-nucleotide ribosomal RNA is filed under the name uncultured bacterium. RNAcentral describes it as "partial 16S ribosomal RNA". It matches the Rfam family "Bacterial small subunit ribosomal RNA", at positions 30 to 526 of the family's 1533-position model. The record is from RNAcentral.